CCUACGGGAGGCAGCAGUAGGGAAUCUUCCACAAUGGGCGAAAGCCUGAUGGAGCAACGCCGCGUGGGUGAAGAAGGUCUUCGGAGCGUAAAACCCUGUUGUUAGAGAAGAAAGUGCGUGAGAGUAACUGUUCACGUUUCGACGGUAUCUAACCAGAAAGCCACGGCUAACUACGUGCCAGCAGCCGCGGUAAUACGUAGGUGGCUAGCGUUAUCCGGAUUUAUUGGGCGUAAAGGGAACGCAGGUGGUCUGUUAAGUCUGAUGUGAAAGUCUUCGGCUUAACCGGAGUAGUGCAUUGGAAACUGGGAGUCUUGAGUGCAGAUGAGGAGAGUGGAACUCGAUGUGUAGCGGUGAAAUGCGUAGAUAUAUGGAAGAACUCCAGUGGCGAAAGCGGCUCUCUGGUCUGCAACUGACGUUGAGGUUCGAAAGUGUGGGUAGCAAACAGGAUUAGAUACCCGUGUAGUC
This 465-nucleotide ribosomal RNA is filed under the name uncultured bacterium. RNAcentral describes it as "partial 16S ribosomal RNA". It matches the Rfam family "Bacterial small subunit ribosomal RNA", at positions 338 to 795 of the family's 1533-position model. The record is from RNAcentral.